ACAGAUGCAGCCUUGCUGGAAUCAGCAAGAACAACCACCCCCAGGACUUCAGCCUCAACAUGAGCUAACAGGCAUUAAAAGCCCUCAGGUUUGAUUGUCUUCACUUAACUGGCAUUAUUAUGGAGUUGUAGACCUGGUGUGGGGAGUAUGGGGAUCAACCUCAGAAGCCUCCAGAGAGAGAUUGGUGGACUCUAGGAGUGUCGAUCUCAGACUGACCAUCGCUGGGGCCACAUCCAAGCAGCAGCCCUUUGUCCAGAGCCAUUUCCUCCACUGGCCUCAGUUUCUGUAGGGCCCAGAUGGUGCUGAAGUCAGAUGCCAAGGGGAAAGUGACUUUACCCACGAGAGAGAUUUUUAAAUAUUCCCCCAACUGCUCCGAUGGGACCGUCUAGUUACAGGAAAACAAGCUCAAGGCUCCCACUGAUUCUACAUUACGGUUAUUUUUGGGGUGACAACAGCUUUGGUCCACCUUGGCCAUUCAGAGAAUGAAUGAGAGGGGGAGAAGACAAACAGAGCCCAUGAUAAUAGGGGUUCACUGGCUGAGUCAUUUGAUGUGCUACCUAUUGUUCUCUUCUGGAGGCUCAGCCUCAACCUGCCUGGGAGCGCUGAUUUUGAUGAUAGUGGUGCAGUCCCAAAAUGAUAAAUACCAUCUCUGAAGCAUGCAUUUCUGAAGAGGUGUACUGCUGCUUUCAUGCUAGCAAAACAUUUCCACUGCAGAGGAAAAAAUUGCCAAUGGCAUGGGUCUUAAAUUCCUUGAAUUCUAAAUUUAUUUAUUUUUUGGAGACAAUGUUAUCUGCCCAGUUUAUUUUAAAGUAAAUUUUACUGACUCAAUUAGACAGCAACACUCAUCCUCAUUAAAGAUCCUGCAGUCCUUUCACAAGAUUAGGGCUGGUGGCUUGGUCACAUUCCAAUGUGGAUAAUUGCAUUCUGCAUUCCUGGAUAUUUCCCUCCACCUUUCCAACCUCAUACCGUCAAAUGCAUUGUUAUUUACCCUUACUGCAAAUCAACAGUCCUGUUGUGGAGGCGCUGAGGGUUUGCCAUCCCCUCAGUUUGCAGGCUAAAGCAUCAGCCCAAACCACUGCUCCUUACACUUUUAAAAGAAAACCCCUUAGGUAAUGCAUAUUUUCAAAUAUGAGGCAAAUCUCAAUUAUGCACACUUAAUCAUAGGUUAAGGUUUUUGGUAAGUAAAAUAUUCUUAUUUUAUAAAGGAUGUUUAUUUUGGAAUCUUCUUUGAUUUAAAAAAUGUGUUGCUCGAAUAUGUGCUGUUUGCUCAAAGAAGAAAACAAAGUCUUCAGAAAUGGCAACAAAACAAACAAAAAAGCGAAAAAGCUCUUGAGGAAACAGCUUUUCAUUGACCUUCUAAAUAAAUUCCACAAGGGGGCGAAAACACCUAAUGGUCCGGGGCUGCAAAGUUUUUAUUGCAAAGCUGGCCACCCAUAAUAGAUUAGUGGAUUAAUAUUUUUCUCUAAAGGAUCUGGCCUUUAAUGUUGACAUCAAUUUAUAGCCAUCCCAGGCGUUUACAGUAGUAAAAGUCAUGGAGACCAUAAACUUCACAAUAGAUGUCAGCCUUCUGCUACUAGUGCUCUAGCCCAGCACCCCAUAAACAGUGGUGAUUAGGUAACUGUUCUUCAAAGACCCAUCCAUAGCUCUAACGUCUUUAUCAGCUCCCGCAAAGAUACUGUCACGAGGAUUUUAUCAGGCACAAGACAGAAGUAUACGUUUUUAUUAAUGUGGACUUAUUUUUCUGACAUGUAGCUAUGAGGUUGCACUGCAGCUUAUCAUUGAUCUCUUCUUGAAAAUCAAGCAUGGAGUGUCUAUUUUUGGGCAAAGCUUAAAGAACAGAAGCUCUCUUGUAUCAUAUUAGAACUUUUUGACAAACAGCCAAGGUACAGAGGUCAAAUUUCCCCAUAUGCUAUAAGCAACUUAGUAGGAAGCAAGACCACAAAAGGUUUUGCAAAUGUCUGCCAGUAGCCGGGUGAUCUAGGUCACUGUACAGGUUUCAUUAAUCAGGUUGUUGAAACAAGGAGUUAUUUUUCUCUGCUUAAGAGACCUGCAGAUAUCAUGUAGAAUCUGCUCAAUUGUUGAUCAAGAAAGAGUUUUUAAUGAAACAGAGAUCACUCAAGUGAACUGGGGUGCGGGAGCGUUUGUAUUUGUACUGAAGACAAAUUGUGCUUUUUAGCCCAGCUCCUCUGUUUGAGUCCUCUGUUCUGGUAGGGAUGGGCUCAAGAUCUAAUAAUAGUUCCUUGGGCUCUGCAUCUCCACAUACGUGUUCCGGCGUUUGAGCAGCAGGAGGAAUUUAGUGACAGAGCAGGUGUUGUGGCUUAUUCCCUGGCAGAAUAAAUGGUGAAGGGUGGUGGCAAGACAAUUCUUUGGCUUCUUUAUGCAAAAAAAAAAAAAAAAAUGCAUUUAAUCACUUUCCUUUUUUCCUGGCACUAGUGAAAAAGGAUUGGAGUUGCUGUAUUAAUAUGUAUGCAAACAUAUUUUUUCACUUAAGCCUCUGGAAAAAAAAAAGAGAGAGAGAGAAAGAAAAACUUACUGUGAAAAUGCUUAGCCAGAAAGAUUCAUUGCUGAUUGCAGAUUUAGUAUUGACAUGUCUUAGCUGAAGAAAACUUCAGCUUUAACUAUUAAUGUGGAAAUCUGGAUCAGCUUUUAAAGUAGGGUAAAAAGAGUUUUGGAUGAUUCAGUAUAUUUAUUUGAACAUAAUUUUAAAGAAGAAAGUGUCAAUUAUAGAGGUAUAUAAAAAACCCAGUGGAGUGUGUGCAUUUUAAUUUUACAUGGCCUACCUUGGAAAUAAAAUUAUAAAAUGCAGGUGAUCUGAAUUAUACUUAAAGCAGCCUUUAUGCCCAACUUACUCUCUCAUAACACUUCUAAAUAUCCGCUCCUCCUGAUUUCUUAUAAAAUAUGGAAUUUAAGAUGAGAAUCGGAGUCUAAAUGAAAUGUUCUUUUAAAGCAUUAUUUAUAAGAUUUUCCUCAACCUACAUUUUUUACUUCCCCUAGUAAGUUGCGUACAAAAGUCUGUAUUUUUUCUUGAAGGUAGGUGUGUUGCUCUUAUAAACAUAAGAUAAGCCAUGAAAACAUGAAAAACAAAAUUCCUUCUCCUUCCACCUGGGAUAAUUUGAGAUUUUCACAAUAUUACUUUUUCCUUUGCUUGAUUAUAUAAGGCAAAACUUGAUACCCACUUAGUUGUAGCUAUGGUCUUCUUGAUAAGACAUCUAUCCAGGUAAAAUUAAAGUAUAAUUUUCAGGUGAUUUGCAUCCCAUGCAUGCAACAGGAAAACUCAGAAUUCAGGAAAACAGGGCAUGCUUAAGAGGGAACAUCUUGUAAAGACUGUAAUUUGACCUUUGAGUCAACCUGAGUACAUUUUAAAUAUUAUAGGACAAAAGCCUCAAAGUGGAAUUCUGCCUCAUCUUUCUCAGAACUAUAAACCAGUCAGACACUGUUUCAGAGAUUACGCUAGAAAAUAUGUACCUAUCCUUGGCACUUUUUAUUGCAAACCUUUCUAACUCUGGAGUACACUUGAUAUGAUGGCAAUUAAGAAAAAAAAAAAAGCAGUGACAACUUUGCAGCUUUUGAUUAAAGCACACCAAGAGGCAUGUUACAAUGAUAACAAUGAAGCAUUAUGCCAAUUAUGUUAAAUCCUGCUCUCCGCUUAAGCUCAUCAUGACCUGUUUUAGUGUCCUGUAAUUUAUCCUUUGGAAUGCUUACUCUCAUCAAUAGUGUUCAACUCAAAGACGGGGGGAAAAAAGCCACCAAAGGGAACAACCACCCCCAAAUGACUUCUAGAAAACAAGUUAUUUCUUAACUUUUUAUUGACAUUGGCAAAUUAAAAUAGAAUAAAUUAACAAGUAUUUUUUCAAAAAAA
Molecule: long non-coding RNA, 3859 nt
Filed under: Homo sapiens (human)
Lineage: Eukaryota; Metazoa; Chordata; Mammalia; Primates; Hominidae
Description: non-protein coding lnc-HECA-1:3
Source: RNAcentral